UCAAUUCUCAAUCAGUUGAAAUCUUCUCCAAAAUUAUGAAUGCCUUUCCAUUGUCUAUGUCAGAGAAUUCAAACGCAAAUCCUUCUCUGUGCUUCCAAUCCUCUUCGAUCCACACCAUGAAAUCCCCAGGUUACACCACAUCUUCAGUUUGGAUCGUGAUUUGUGAACUUCAUACUCAAGAGGUAAUUAAAAGAGGAUCUUUUUGGGGGAAUUAAUGGUUUAUGUGCCAAAAUAAAGUAUCGAGGAGCGGGUAGAAGAUUGGAAG
Helianthus annuus (common sunflower) is the source of this 265-nucleotide long non-coding RNA. RefSeq lists it as uncharacterized. The record is from RefSeq and is a predicted model, not a curated record. The transcript has 3 exons. NCBI's taxonomy places the organism in Eukaryota, Viridiplantae, Streptophyta, Magnoliopsida, Asterales, Asteraceae.